UACGUGAAAUUGUUGAAAGGGAAGGGCUUGAGAUCAGACUUGGUGAUUCGUCACUGGGCCAGCAUCGGUUUGGGUGGCAGGAUAAGACCAGGGGAAUGUGGCUCUUUACGAGUGUUAUAGCCCCUGGAGAUACUGCCUGCCUAGACCGAGGACUGCGGUAACUAGGAUGCUGGCAUAAUGAUCUUAAGCCGCCCGUCUUGAAACACGG
RNAcentral lists this ribosomal RNA (208 nucleotides) under fungal sp. Its description in RNAcentral is "partial large subunit ribosomal RNA". The record is from RNAcentral. Lineage: Eukaryota; Fungi.